GGAGUUAGCCGGUGCUUCUUCUGUGAGUGAUGUCCUUCCUGCCGGCUAUUAACCCGCAGGCCUUCUUCCUCACUGAAAGUGCUUUACAACCCGAAGGCCUUCUUCACACACGCGGCAUGGCUGGAUCAGGGUUGCCCCCAUUGUCCAAUAUUCCCCACUGCUGCCUCCCGUAGGAGUCUGGGCCGUGUCUCAGUCCCAGUGUGGCUGAUCAUCCUCUCAGACCAGCUACGGAUCGUCGCCUUGGUGAGCCGUUACCUCACCAACCAGCUAAUCCGACAUAGGCUCAUCCGAUAGCGCGAGGCCCGAAGGUCCCCCGCUUUCCCCCGUAGGGCGUAUGCGGUAUUAGCCUGGGUUUUACCCCACGGUUAUCCCCCACUACCGGGCAGAUUCCUAUGCAUUACUCACCCGUCCGCCGCUCGCCACCAGGGAGCAAGCUCCCCGUGCUGCCGCUCGACUUGCAUGUGUUAGGCCUGCCGCCAGCGUUCAAUCUGAGCCAGGAUCAAACUCUGA
Molecule: ribosomal RNA, 510 nt
Filed under: uncultured bacterium
Lineage: Bacteria
Description: partial 16S ribosomal RNA
Source: RNAcentral